ACUUUCACAUAAAGUGGUUCAUACCGUGAUUAAUUAUUCACGGAUAAACAAUAUCAAACCUCAAUAAGAUCAUCCAAUCACAACCCAACAACACACAAUCAUACAUCAAUGCACAAAAUAAAAAAAAAUGAAAACAGGGAGUCAAAAUUGGACCUCAAAUAUCAAUUUUAAUAUGUCGGAGAUAACACUGAGCUCGGAAAAACUCAAAUCCAAACUCAUAACAAUCCAAUUCCAACAGAAAAAUCUCAAAAUCCAAUCCGAACAAGACUUCACAAAGAACAAACGAAACCUGAAAUUGAAAUCAAAGCUUGAAAGGGAAAAACAGACCCCUGUAUGACAGUUUCCGAUGAGACUCAACUAGAGUAAACCUAAAAUAACCAAUUCAGACGAUCUAGUGCCCGGAAUUAAUGUUUUCUAGCGAUAUUUACACUAAAAAUGAGAGAUGGAAGCUGUUUGAUGUGGGUUUGGCCAAAAUACGGUUGAUGUGGUCAUUUCCCGGCGAGUCUUGAUGGAACAGUGACUAAACCGUGGUUUUUCAAUCAAAUUCUAGUGAGAAACCCAUCGAAAUAGUCAACUUCCACCUAUUCUUUCCCUCUCCCAUGCUCUCACUCUUAAUUUCUCAUUCUUUUUUCCCUAAUUUCUGGUGCAGGUGCGUCGUAUAGCGAUAUGUAUGCAUGAAUAGUGUAUUGUAAAUUAAGGACGAGUAGGGGUUGUGUUCAUGGUGAGCAUGUGAUCUGUGAGUGCAGGUGAAUUAUGUAUAAGAAAAUGAAAAUGGAGAUGGAUGAGAGUGUAUUUUGUGAGCUGAUAGCGUAUUCUCUUGAAAAAAUGAAAAAAAAACCUGAAUAUAGUGUAUUCCUUCUCUAUAUAUGUAAUACACUACAGUGUGAUAGUGUGUUUUCAAGUGGGUCCCACUCCUUUUGUUUUGUGUGUGGUUCUUAUUCUGUUACGGUUUGUUACCAAAAGAAGAAAAAUAUGAAGGGAGGUACAUGGGGAAGGGUAGUGAGGUGGGGUAAGGGUAGGGGUGUGAUGUAUUAAAUUUUGGUUGGGUGUGGGUAUGUUGUUUGAGAUAAAGUUUGUUAGGAUAGGGAAUAUUAGGGAUUUAUUUUGUUAGGGGUUUAUUGAAAUUUUGUUAUUUUUGUAUUUUUAUGGGGUAUAAUCACAUGGGUAAUGAUGCGUGGUAAAUUGAACUUCGGGAGGGACAAAAUUAGGUGUCUACAGCAUGCCCCUUUGAAUGUAAACACGAAGUGUUUUCAGGCAAAGAAGUAGACAACGAGACAAAAUUUUGUCUCGACCAUUAUUCAAAAAGAAUGAAAUAAAAGGAAUGAAGGAAACCAAGUCUUAAUUUUGGACAUCAUAUUCAUCCCUAGUUAUGAUUGAAUCAAGUCACAGGUAUCUCAAAGAGUCGGAAAAAAAGGGACUAUACCGAGUUAGAGAGUCGAGUGAGGCCCUGUCGAGGUUCCGAUCCGCAGCUCUAUUAUUACAUCAAAAAUAAAAAUUAUAAGUUAAAAACAUAAAUGAAAUUAAAAAAAUCCUAUCAGUCCGGCUUUUUUUGGACUCUUGAUUUGAGCUUCAUCACCCUAUUCUUCAGGCGGACUCCUGGCUUGCAAUUUCUUCAAUAUGAUGAAUUUCAAUUGUUUCACCUUGUUGCUUGACAUUUAACCUUUAACCUUGUUGCUUGACUUCCAAUAUCUUCACCUUGUUGCUUGACUUUUAAUUUUUUCACCCUGUUCUUCAGGCGGGUUCCUGACUUUCUAUUUCAUCGCCCUGUUCUUCAGAAGGGCUCCUGACUUGCAAUUUUAUCACCUUGUUCUUCAGGCGGGCUUUUAACUUGCAAUUUCAUCACUCUUUUCUCUAGGCGAGCUCCCGACUUUCAAUUUCAUCACCCUGUUCUUCCAGCGGGCUCCUGACUUGCUAUUUCAUCACUCUGUUCUUCGGGCGAGCUCCCGGCUUUUAAUUUUACUACCCCAUUCUUCAGGUGGGCUCCUAACUUCAAAUUUCCUCACCCUGUUCUUCAGGGGGGCUACUGACUUUCAAUUUAUCAACCUGUUCUUCACGCGAGCUCCCGACUUUCAAUUCAUCACCCUGUUCUUCAAGCGGGCUCCUGACUUGCUAUUUCAUCACUCUGUUCUUCGGGAAAGCUUCCAACUUUUAAUUUCAUCGCCCUGUUCUUCAGGUGAGCUCAUGAAAUCAAAAUCAAAACUAGUACAAAAAUUAUCCCAAAAAAAAGAUUAUGAUAAAGAAAGAUUCAUUUUUCUGAAAGUAAUGACCUAUUUUCCAAGAGGGUCAUGAACAUAAAGUAAGUUCUCAUUUUUCAGGAAGGUCCUGAACAUAAAGUAAACUCCCAUUUUUUAGAAGGGUGUGGGGUCCUGAACAUAAAGUAAAGUCUCAUUUUCCAGGAGGGUCCUGAUCAGGAAGUAAAAUCCCAUUUUCCUGGAGGGUCCUAAUCAUGAAGUAAAUUCUCAUUUUCCAGGAGGAUCCUGAACAUGAAGCAAAUUCUCAUUUUUCAGAAGGGCCCUGAACAUGAAGCAAAUUUCCAUUUUUUAGGAGGGCCCUGAACAUGAAGUAAAUUCCCAUUUUCCAGGAGGGCCCUGAACAUGAAGUAAAUUCUCAUUUUUCAGGAGGGUCCUGAACAUGAAGUAAAUUCCCAUUUUUUAGGAGGGUCCUGAACAUUAAGUAAAUUCUCAUUUUUCAGGAGAGGCCUGAACAUGUAGUAAAUUCCCAUUUUUUUCAAAAGGGUCCUGAAUAUAAAGUAAAUUCCUAUUUUCCAAAAAGGUCCUGAACAUAAAGUAAAUUCCCAUUUUUCUGAAGGGUCCUAAACAUAGAGUAAAUUUCCAUUUUUCAGGAGGGUCCUGAAUAUAAAGUAAAUUCUCAUUUUUCAGGAGGGUCCUGAACAUAACAUAAAUUCUCAUUUUUUUGAAGGGUCCUGAACAUAAAGUAAAUUCCAUUUUCUAGGAAGGUCCUGAACAUAAAGUAAACUCCCAUUUACUAGGAGGGCCCUGAAUAUAAAAUAAAUUCUCAUUUUUCAGGAGAGUCCUAAACAUGAAGUAAAUUCCCAUUUUCUAGGAGGGUCCUAAACAUGAAGUUCCAUAUAAUAUGAAUCACUUUUAAUUUUUGCCCCAGUUUUCAUCAAAAGAUUUUUCGGGUGUCAAACUCAAUCACAACUAUUUGCAACAGUGAAUAAUGCAAAGAUGAAUCAAAAUUCUGAUCAACAAAUGCACCUAUUGAGAGUAAAAUUAAAUGAUUGAGACCAACAAGUCCCUCUCUUCAGAGUAAAAGUAAAAGGUCCUUACUAAAGUGCAUCACUUAGAAUUAAAGGCUCAAAUUAGGAAGUGCACCUCCUAGCCAUGAGACAUGAAAGACACAAACUAGAGAAUUUGUCUCUAAGGGGUACAAGAUGAUGAGGAUUACCAAACCUGUACAACGACACUGCAUUUGCAUUAGCAGAAAUAAGGAAUUGCACCUCUGGGUAUUUGUUCUUUGAAGCCCUUGAUUAGAAUAUCAUAAUUGUUCCUAUUUCAUACAAAGAAAACUUGUAAGUUUAAAAUAGGGUGGUUGGCUUGCGGCUUUGGCAUUUGAGGAGACUUCUCUUGCACUUGUCCCAUUUAGAUCUUGCUUCCAAUUAUUAGCAUUUGACAUUGCCUUGUUGCACCGUUGGUCCAAAAAUAGAAUAUUAAAAGUGACUCUAAAACAAACACAGUAUCUCUGCUUUGCUAUGUUUUUCAGAUAAUCCCCUUUAAACCUUGGUAUUUCCAUGAAUUCCCCAAAUUUGUGUAUUGACAAAAACCUUUUGCAAGGCUUGUUGCAAUCUUGUUUCUUUCAUGUGUUGGCCCCCUUGUCUUGCUUUGUGCAAUUGAAGAAGUUGGUAGCCAGUUUUGAAAAAUUUUCUUACUUAUUUUGACAUGGACUUGACUCAAAGACAAGAGAAAAAUGACAAAAAAAAUUUUAUUUGACUAACUGACUCAAGAAAAUAAAAUAAAAACACAGAGAAGAAAGAAAAGACGAUGAACGUCCCCAUUUGAAACAAAGAACGAAAAAUUUAUCUAAAAAUGAUAGUCAACUCUAAUGAUUAUGCCAUGCUUUUGGAUUAAUCUGCCCAAUCUUUCCAUCCACACUUCUGCCAGUUGUUGUUGAGUUAAUAGUCUUGAAACUGAGUUACUUUCCUGGGCUAAUUAUAUUCGGAGACCUCAUUCGUCUAGUGGCGCCUUGAAGGGUUUUCGCCAACAAGACUCUCUCAUUUUCUUUUUCUCAUAUCACUAUUGCCUUAGGGUAUCAGAGAGGGUUUUCACUAAUGAGACUCUCUUGUUUUUAUUUCUCUUAACUCAUAGUCGUCUUACAGUACCUAUGAGGAUUUUCACCGAUAAGACUCUCUCAUUUUUAUUUCUCUCUUGAUUCCCUAUGCUGAGGAAGACGAGCAGUUCCCAAAAUACGUCAUCAUAUCCAUUGCAUACUUAGCCUUAACAUUCUCAAAUAUUGAUCUGAAGGUCUUUCUUUGAUUGUAACUUGGCUUUUGGAUAGGGUUAGAAAGAAAGGAUAACAUGAGGCCCAAAUGACAGUUGAAGUGGGGUAGGACUUACAACUUUUGGAAUCGACUCAAACAAUGAGGAUUAACUCAUGCCCUAGUUUCUUUUGACUAGGCAAUUCUAAACUAUUUAUUUGGUUGGACCGAGCCCAGAGUAGGGCAGCAAACGUAUCUCACCCCCAAGAGAGGAGAAUCAGGUCACACGUAAUUCCGACAACUUAUUUUGCUUGAUUCUGAUUUAUUUUUCUCUUAUUAACUCUUUUUCUCUUUGAAAUUUUUUCUAACUCUAUUUUUCUUGACACUCUUCUCUAUUCUUUCUUUUUGGACACAAUUUUUCUCUUUUCUUUUUUUUUUUGAAACUGUUUUGACUCUAUUGUUUUGCUCGACACUUUUUUUUUGAGCUUUCCUGACUCUAUCUUGAUUCCAAAAGAGGGGUAUGAAGAGAAAUAGGACUAAAGCUCAAAUGGGGUAAACAAAGGAUGACACGAUGUUUGGAUAGCAGAAUAAAAUUCCUUCAUCCUAUCAAUCCUUGAAAAAUAUAAGUACAUAUCAUGCAAUAUGAAAUGAAAAAUGAAGAUCAUUUGUGACACUUUAACACUAACUUUAACUGAGCAUGUGCGCCACUCCCUCUUCUACACUUGUCAAACAUACAACUCCAUUUUUGUUAUACAUCCCUCACAUCGAAUGAUCCAUGCUUUUGUGGAGUUGAUUAUCUUCUUAUUUCUCUUGAUAUAGGGAUCAUGCAUCCACUAUUUAACCUAAUUGGGACAUGUCUUUCGAUUGAUCACCAAGUUAUUCUUGUGAUUCUAAAAAUAAUUUCCUUAAUAUUCAAAGGAGGUUUCAACUUGUCACCAAAUGUCUCAGCACUCUAUCUAUUUCUUAGAUUUUUUCCUAACUUUGGCCCUCUGAUUCAAUGUUUCAUAGUUGAAUUGAAUUUUAAGAUCUAGCUGAGAAUUCCGCAGGCAUGUCAUAGUACUAGAAUCAGCCUAAAAUGUAUUGUGUAAAAAAAAGACAAGCAAACAAUUUGAAAAAAGACACAACGACAAGGGAUGCCACAUUUGAUUGAAAGAAAAGAUAGAAGGGUUUAAACAAAAAUGACAGAGAAACAAAACAAGAUAGAUUCUAAACUACAAUCCUGAAAUAAUUCAGAAAAUAGAAAGCAAAAUAAAACAAACUACCAAUAAUCCUUCUGGGUAAGGAGAGGAGCGACUUUUAAUUGCUGAGCUUGACAUCUUAGCCACUGAAUUGCACAUCAUCGUGACUAGAGAUUUCACCGCUAUCAGACACAUUCCAUGUAAAAUUAUCAUUUGACUUCCUCCUUUUUGCAAUCUCCGAGCUCAGUUGAAACUUGAACUCAAAAGUUCCUUAGUAAAUGUGUGGGGUUUGAGGAUGAUGUUGAGGGACCGGUGCAUACUAUUAUGGAUAUGAAGGCGAAUGAGUAUAUCGUUGUGCAUUGUUCAAAGAAUACUGAGGAAUUGGAAUAGAAUAUCUUGGAUUUUGCGAAGAGAAACCUUGUUGCAGGUGAGCAUGUGAACUUGAUGUGUAAGCUCGGGAUUGAGAGUGAAAAUAUUGCUGAGUUGGACCUCUCAAGAUCUAUUUUUCCCAUGAAACGACAAUAGGUAUGUUUUUCUUCUUCUUUCCUUCAGUCCCCCCUCAACUGAUGACAAUAUCGUCCCAAGUAUUUUUCAAAAUCCUCGUACCCAUUAUGUUCCUCCAUUUUUGAUACCUCAAAGUUAGAAGGGCAGUUAACACUUGAAGACAUGCCCCAGUCUUUGUAUGUAACAUCUUCUUUACCCACAAGUCCUAAAGAACUUUUCAUAGCAUUUUCUGCAUUCUUCAUCUUUCCAACUAUUUUCUCUGACUCUUCUAGCACACUAGGCUUCUUGUUAAGAAAUUUUGGUGGAAGACUCAAGGUAUUUGUAGGAUCAAUAGCGGGACAUGGAGGAGGAGGCAGCCUACUAGCCCAAGCUCGAUACAUUUCCAUCAUUUGUUGUCUUAGUCUCAAAUUCUCUUUCUUUAAACUCUUGAUUUCUUGACUCUUUGUUUGAUCCAUGAGGUCACUCUCUAUAUCUUUGUUGGACAUAUUUAAACCUUUCUUAGAUUUGGUGUGAUGUGGAGGACCAGCUACAAUGCCUCAAAUCAACCACCUUAAACUAACUGAACAAGAGACAACAUAUGUGUUAGAGUGCAACAUUUUUUCAAAACUAUUUUUCUGUUUUUCUUUUGAAAAGAUCACCGAACCUAAGAAGGGCGCCUACGUAUCUCACUCCCGAGAGAGGAAAAUCAGGUAUGCAUAGUUCGUGAAGUUUGGCCACAAAAUGGGCCAAUAAAGCUCUCUUUCUUUUUCUUGAAACUUUAGAAGAAAAGGAAGUAGUAAAGCGUCAAAAGAAUUGACGAAAAUCUUUUUGCAUUUUUCAGGUUUAACAUCUCUAUAUAAAAUGAGAUAUAUGAUUACCGAAGAAAAACCUUUUUGGGUUUUCGAUUUUGAAUUUCAUAUGAAAAUGAAACUUGAACAUAUUAAAGGAAAAAUCUUUUUGUAGUUUUCUUUUAAAGAUGUAUAUGAAAUUCCUACACUAAAUGAAGAGUGAAGAAAAUCUUUUUGAAUAUUUUAAAUAAGAUCCCCGAACCAACAAUAGACUACCUACAUAUCUCACUCUCGAGAUAGGAGAAUCAGGGGUGCGUAGUUCAUCCAGAUUUGACAAUUAAGGAUUAAAUAACCAACUGGCCCUAACUUAAGAGACACAAAUAGCGUCAAAAAAUUCUUUUUUGGUUUUUAAUUAGACACUUCUCAUAAAACUGACACAACAACUAUGAAAGAAAAAAUCUUUUUGGUAUUUUCAUUUUAUGAAAGUACAAAACUUUUACCAUUUUUUUUUUAAUUUUCUGUUAUAAAAAGCUUCUAAAAAAAUCUUUUUGAAAAUUUUGAAUUAUGAAUGCAUGCUAAAGGAGAUAAAAGGAAAAUCUUUUUAAAGUUUUUGUUUUUGAGUAAAUGCGUGAAAAAAAGGUAAGGAAAUCUUUUUUGAAUUUUUGGAUUGUGAAAAAUAAAAGUCAUAAAGAACUCUAAAAACCACGAAACUCUCUUUUUUCACUCAUUUUUUCCUUUUUUUUUCAAUAAUUUCUUGCCUACACACUUUAUUUCUAACACAUGCUUUUGCCCAAAUCAGUCUGUCAAAUAACCUUGUUACCCUCGAAGAUGCAACAUUUAACAUGUAGAGAUGCUUUAGAGGUGAGUCUCCUACAAAGGACCAAGUGGGUCACGUUAGGUCUCAAUAUGAUGCAGAUAAAUAUGACCUAAAGACUGACCUACGUUGGGGUUCACUAACAAGGCUAUUCGGGGGAGUGUAUGGUCGAUAGUGCCUGCUUUGCUUUCCACCUACUCCAUACCAGCCGACGGCUCCCUAUCCUAAAAUAAGGGUGACUCAACUAUAGGUCAUGUACACAGCGUGUACUACAGAACUUAUUGCCUAAAUAAUUGACUCGGGUUAUGCAAAUAAUGUCAGAUAUAAAGCAGUAACACAUUAGAAAAAACUGUAAACAAAGAGCACGUAGGCACUCAAAAACAAUAACACAAACGACGUUUAUACACCCAUGAUGUCAAACUAAGCCGAUGCAACUCCAAAAAAUAAGCUCGAAUUCUAAAAAAUAACCAGUGGAGUCGUCAGAGCUGUCACACUCCUUUUUAACCAAAAGAUUAAUUUUAAGUUUGAAAGGGUUUUAUUAUUAAAGUGACAAAAAUGAAGAUGAAAGUUUCAAAAAGAAUUCGUUUUAUAAUUAACUCAGAGUCGCCACUUGGCAUAAAUCGGGUGUGCCAAGUCACCCUUGGAUAUCCUUUUUCAAAACGAUUUUGACUCUUUCAAAAUCUGAUUUACGAAUAGAGAUUCCGGCUAAAGAAUUCUGUUGACCGAGAGGAAGGUAUUAGACACCCCUCCAUCUAGUGGUUUGACCACGAUCGCUUGGUGGAGCAUAUCGGCUAAUUUGACACUACGAAUGUAUAAAUCACACAACACAUAAAACAAUCAAACACACAAAACAAAACCAAUCCACAAUAUAGUGUCCAAUUCAAUUAUAUAGUCCAAAGAUAGAAAAAAAAUGCGAAAAUAUAAAUCCUAUUCUAAGCUAAUCCUAAAACUACGCUCCAAUGCCUUAUCCGAUGCCUUGAGCCUUGAUCACGAGCUUCCUCUGCGUUCAUGAUACUUUGGGACAUUCCUCGAAUAAAUCAAUAUAAAUUUCUCGGGGCAUUCCCCGACAAAUGAGUACAAUUUCAAUUUUUGUGCCAUAAAAUAGAACGAAUCAUUCACACACAUAUUCAAGCACUCAACAAAUCGUAUUCCCAAAUUUGCCUACCCAACCUACCGUUUGCCUACCAAUUUCAUCCUAUCAUGAUAUUAUCACGUUUCAACAAUAUCCAUGCUCAUUAAACAAAAACGAUAAUAAAUCAAAGUUAUAUCAACUUCUCGAUUCCACCCCAAAUUUCCUUUUAUACAUCACUUUCACACAAAGUGGUUCAUACCGUGAUUAAUUAUUCACGACAAAACAAUAUCAAACCUCAACAAGAUCAUCAAUCACAACCCAAACAACAUACAAUCAUACACCAAUGCACCAAAUCGAAACAAAAAAUGAAAAGAGGGAGUCAGAAUUGAACCUCAAAUAUCAAUUUCAAUAUAUCAGAGAUAACACCGUACCCGAAAAACCUCAAAUCCGACCUCACAACGAUCUAAUUCCAACGGAAAAAUCUCAAAAUUCAAUCCGAACAAGACUUCAUGAAGAACAAAUGAAACCCGAAAUUGAAAUCGAAGCUUGAAAGGGAAAAACAAACCCCCUGUGUGAUAGUUUCCGACGAGAUUCAAUCGGAGUCAACCUAAAACAACCGAUUCAGACAAUCUGGUGGCCGGAAUUAAUGUUUUCUAGCGAGAUUUAAACUGAAAAAUGAGAGAUGGAAGCUGUUCGAUGUGGGUUUGGCCGAAAUACAAUUGAUGUGGUCAUUUUCUGGCGAGUCUUGACGGAAAAGUGGCUAAACCGUGGUUUUUCAGUCAAAUUCCGGCGAGAAACCCGCCGGAAUAGUCAACUUCCACCUAUUCUCUCCCUCUCCCGUGUUCUCACUCUUAAUUUCUCAUUCUGUUUUCCCCAAUUUUUGGUGUGUGUGCAUCGUAUAGCGAUAUGUGUGCAUGACCAGUGUAUCGUGAAUUAGAGAUGAGUGUGUGGGGUUGUGUUCAUGGUGAGUAUGUGAUCUGUGUGUGCGUGUGAAUUGUGUAUAAGAAAAUAGAGAUGGAGGAGAGUGUAUUUUGUGAGCUGAUGGUAAAAAAACCCUGAAUAUAGUGUAUUCCUUCUCUAUAUAUAUGAAAUUCCCUGGUGUGUGUGUGUUUUUAAGUGGGUCCC
Molecule: long non-coding RNA, 9895 nt
Filed under: Capsicum annuum
Lineage: Eukaryota; Viridiplantae; Streptophyta; Magnoliopsida; Solanales; Solanaceae
Description: long non-coding RNA (CANN_LNC000435)
Source: RNAcentral